AGCGGAGGAAAAGAAACCAACAGGGAUUGCCUCAGUAGCGGCGAGUGAAGCGGCAAGAGCUCAGAUUUGAAAUCGCAGCGGCAACGCGGCGAGUUGUAGAUUGCAGGUGGGAGAGUUUGCGGGCGGCGGGCGUCGAAGUCCCUUGGAACAGGGCGCCACUGAGGGUGAGAGCCCCGUGCGAUGCCUGCCCAUGCUUUGAACUCCCCUCUGACGAGUCGAGUUGUUUGGGAAUGCAGCUCUAAGCGGGUGGUAAAUUCCAUCUAAGGCUAAAUACUGGCGAGAGACCGAUAGCGAACAAGUACUGUGAAGGAAAGAUGAAAAGCACUUUGAAAAGAGAGUGAAACAGCACGUGAAAUUGUUGAAAGGGAAGGGUAUUGGGCCCGACAUGGGAAUCGCGCACCGCUGCUCCUCGUGGGCGGCGCUCUGCGCUUUUCCUGGGCCAGCAUCGGUUUCCGCUGCAGGAGAAGGGGCUGUGGAAUGUGGCUGGCACGCUUGCGCGCCAGUGUUAUAGCCACGGGCCAGAUGCUGCGUGUGGGGACCGAGGGCUGCGACGGCAACGUCUCGGAUGC
RNAcentral lists this ribosomal RNA (569 nucleotides) under Pichia norvegensis. RNAcentral describes it as "eukaryotic LSU rRNA". It matches the Rfam family "Eukaryotic large subunit ribosomal RNA", at positions 49 to 626 of the family's 3401-position model. The record is from RNAcentral. Lineage: Eukaryota; Fungi; Ascomycota; Pichiomycetes; Pichiales; Pichiaceae.